AAGAAAGGAAAGAAUGUAUUAUUACAUAAUCAUAAAGUGAAUAUUAACCUGAGAAGGGGGAUGGAGGGAAAAGAAAUUCAGAUCGAUUGUUACAAAAAAACUGAAUCCUCUUUUUAAAUAAAUGUAUUAGGAAUUUAGAUAUUAAUGCUUAAAAUAGAUAAAUCCAUAUAUAGCAGGAUGAACAUUACUAUUUAGAAGUAAGCGGAUAAAUACUAAAAGAAAUCACAUUGAAAUUCGUUGCCUCUUAGUAGUAGGGAGGAGAGAAUUGCUCUUUUUUUCUUAUAUACUUUUAGUAUUGUCAGAGUUUGUAAAACCAUGUGCAUGUAUAGUUUUGAUUAAAAAUUUAACAAUAAAGUAUGAAAUUAUGAAUUUAAAGAGAAAACUUGGCUGGUAUGUAUCAAAUAAAGUUGAAGGCACAGGGAUAGUGCAACAAUCCUAGAUCUGAGGUGAUGAACAAAUGGUGACAACUGGGAGGAAACCAAAGCGUUGGCUUGAAAAGGCAUUUUAAAGGCAUAUACUGUGGGAGUUAAGACCCCACCAGUUUGGAAAAUGAGGUGAAACAUUGAGUUCUAUUUUGAGCCAUUAAUAACAACAAGAAAGAAACAACAAUAACAACAACAACAACAAAAAGAAAAGACAAAAGACAAAAAAAAAAAAAAAAAAAGGAAAUUAGGAUGUCUAGAAAAUGUACAGCACCUAGGCUUCCAUAUAAGAAGAGAAAAGAGUAUCAGGGUAUUUGGCUCAGGAAAAGGUUCUUCUUAGUCCCUGGAACGUGCACUGCAAGUAACCAACUGUAUAUGCUGAACUGAAAUCUUCUAUCAUUUUUGGAGAAGUAUUUUAGUAUCUCCACCUUUCUGCCAGAUUAUCCCAAAGGUAGAGAGAACCAGCUGAAUAGUUGUGGCUGCCUUCUCAGCAAAGAAAUGAUCUUCGCCUGUUCCCACCCACCAGCAUGCAGGCGGACUAAGUAUAACUGAAGCAGAGCAUGAACUGGCUUUACUCCUCAGAAGUGUAGGUCCUUUAAAAACGGAGUGCAUUCUUAUGGAUAAAUAGCUACAUUAGCACUACAUUUCACAGAAAGCAACACUUGCCGUUCAAAACUGUACAUUUUUGGGGUUCCCAUUGUGGCUCAGCAGGUUAAGAACCCGAUGUUUUCUCUGUGAGGAUGUGGGUUUGAUCAUUGGCCGUGCUCAGUGGGUUAAGGAUCUGGCAUUGCCGUAAGCUGUGUCAUAGGUCACAGAUGUGGCUUGGGUCCAGUAUUGCUGUGGCUGUGGCAUAGGCCACAGCUGCAGCUCCAAUUUGACCCCUAGCCUGGGAACUUC
Molecule: long non-coding RNA, 1319 nt
Filed under: Sus scrofa (pig)
Lineage: Eukaryota; Metazoa; Chordata; Mammalia; Artiodactyla; Suidae
Description: lncRNA (ENSSSCG00050065479.1)
Source: RNAcentral